This 254-nucleotide ribosomal RNA is filed under the name uncultured bacterium. RNAcentral's name for it is "partial 16S ribosomal RNA". It matches the Rfam family "Bacterial small subunit ribosomal RNA", at positions 524 to 776 of the family's 1533-position model. RNAcentral also lists the same sequence under 1 other name. The record is from RNAcentral.
GACGAACCGUGCGAACGUUAUUCGGAAUCAUUGGGCUUAAAGGGCGCGUAGGCGGGCGACCGCGUCGAGUGCUGAAAUCCCCCGGCUCAACCGGGGAAGGGGCCUCGAAACGGGUCGCCUCGAGGCGAGGAGGGGGACCUGGAACGUCCGGUGGAGCGGUGAAAUGCGUUGAGAUCGGACGGAACACCAACGGCGAAAGCAAGGUCCUGGACUCGUACUGACGCUGAGGCGCGAAAGCCAGGGGAGCGAACGGG